AUGUCAUAUCUCGUCGCCGAUGAGAUACGGGAUCGCCGCCGACGACCUUCCUCAAUCUUUUGUCUAGGGUUCCCCGCCUCCGUCGCCGCCGCCGACGGCUCCAUCGCGGAACCUCACGGCAGGGCAGGUCUCCAAGAAGCUCGUGCUUGUGUGGAGUCGCCGCACUCCGCACACCGCUACCGUAGCGGAUGCCCAGGGCCGCCGCCGCCGCUGAACCCCAUGGACGAAGCCGUCCCACGAACGGCCGAUGCAGGCACCACAACAGCAGCUCGUUACCGAAAUAUCAGGGGCGCAGAUGAUGUACAGGAUCAUCUCGUCCAUGCCAUGGAACAAAGCCACCUGCUUGACAAGCUCCAAACAGAGGAGUACAAGGAACAAAGGAGCAGGACUUGGAGAAGAAGGGAUCUAAAAAUCGAAAAGGCACUGGACUUGGAGAAAGAGAGAGCGCCGUGA
This 453-nucleotide ribosomal RNA is filed under the name Triticum aestivum (bread wheat). Its description in RNAcentral is "partial small subunit ribosomal RNA". The record is from RNAcentral. Lineage: Eukaryota; Viridiplantae; Streptophyta; Magnoliopsida; Poales; Poaceae.